GACGAACGCUGGCGGCGUGCUUAACACAUGCAAGUCGAACGGAAAGGCCCUGCUUUUGUGGGGUGCUCGAGUGGCGAACGGGUGAGUAACACGUGAGUAACCUGCCCUUGACUUUGGGAUAACCUCAGGAAACUGGGGCUAAUACCGGCUAGGAGCUCCUGCUGCUUGGUGGGGGUUGGAAAGUUUCGGCGGUUGGGGAUGGACUCGCGGCUGAUCAGCUUGUUGGUGGGGUAGUGGCUUACCAAGGCUUUGACGGGUAGCCGGCCUGCGAGGGUGACCGGCCACAUUGGGACUGAGAUACGGCCCAGACUCCUACGGGAGGCAGGAGUGGGGAAUAGUGCACAAUGGGCGGAAGCCUGAUGCAGCAACGCCGCGUGCGGGAUGACGGCCUUCGGGUUGUAAUCCGCUUUCGCCUGUGACGAAGCGUGAGUGACGGUAAUGGGUAAAGAAGCACCGGCUAACUACGUG
RNAcentral lists this ribosomal RNA (468 nucleotides) under uncultured bacterium. Its description in RNAcentral is "partial 16S ribosomal RNA". It matches the Rfam family "Bacterial small subunit ribosomal RNA", at positions 28 to 507 of the family's 1533-position model. The record is from RNAcentral.